UACGUAGGGUGCGAGCGUUGCCCGGAUUUAUUGGGCGUAAAGGGCGCGUAGGCGGCCUGCUAAGUCGGACGUGAAAUCCCUCGGCUCAACCGGGGAACUGCGUCCGAUACUGGCGAGGCUUGAAUCCGGGAGAGGGAUGUGGAAUUCCAGGUGUAGCGGUGAAAUGCGUAGAUAUCUGGAGGAACACCGGUGGCGAAGGCGGCCACCUGGACGGUCACUGACGCUGAGACGCGAAAGCGUGGGGAGCAAACAGG
This 254-nucleotide ribosomal RNA is filed under the name uncultured bacterium. RNAcentral's name for it is "partial 16S ribosomal RNA". It matches the Rfam family "Bacterial small subunit ribosomal RNA", at positions 524 to 776 of the family's 1533-position model. The record is from RNAcentral.